UGCCAGCAGCCGCGGUAAUACGAAAGGUGCAAGCGUUGUUCGGAUUUACUGGGCGUAAAGCGAGUGUAGGUUGUUUGUUAAGUCGGAUGUGAAAUCCCGGGGCUCAACCUCGGAACUGCAUUCGAUACUGGCAGGCUAGAGUUCGGGAGGGGUAAGCGGAAUUCCGUGUGUAGCAGUGAAAUGCGUAGAUAUACGGAGGAACACCUGAGGCGAAGGCGGCUUACUGGACCGAUACUGACACUGAGACUCGAAAGCGUGGGUAGCAAACAGGAUUAGAUA
RNAcentral lists this ribosomal RNA (279 nucleotides) under uncultured bacterium. Its description in RNAcentral is "partial 16S ribosomal RNA". It matches the Rfam family "Bacterial small subunit ribosomal RNA", at positions 506 to 784 of the family's 1533-position model. The record is from RNAcentral.